Molecule: ribosomal RNA, 642 nt
Filed under: Smilax glabra
Lineage: Eukaryota; Viridiplantae; Streptophyta; Magnoliopsida; Liliales; Smilacaceae
Description: eukaryotic LSU rRNA
Rfam family: 5.8S ribosomal RNA (bases 164-319)
Source: RNAcentral
CCCGUCCCUCCGGCCCGCCGCCCCUCGGGCCGCGGCCGCACGGCCCGGCCCGGCGGGCGGAGGACACAUCCCGGCGCGGCGCGCGCCAAGGAACGACCGUCGGAACAGGGCUCCGCCCCCGCCCGCGCGGCGGGGCGGCGCCUCGCUCUACUCGAAACUGUACGACUCUCGGCAACGGAUAUCUCGGCUCUCGCAUCGAUGAAGAACGUAGCGAAAUGCGAUACUUGGUGUGAAUUGCAGAAUCCCGCGAACCAUCGAGUCUUUGAACGCAAGUUGCGCCCGAGGCCACCCGGCCGAGGGCACGCCUGCCUGGGCGUCACGCAUCGCGUCGCUCCGCGCCCCACGGGCGCCGGACGCGGAGAUUGGCCCCCCGCGCGCGAGCGCGGCGGGCCCAAGCGCGGGCCGCCGGCGGGGACGGGCACGGCGAGUGGUGGACGGAAGCGCGGACUCCGCGCGCGCGAGCCGGACGCCGUGGCCCCCGGCCCCCAGCGGCACAGGGCCCUUCGGAACCCCACAGGGCGCGCGAGCCCUCCCCCCGGGACGGGCGAGCCGCCUCGCACCGCGACCCCAGGUCAGGCGGGGCCACCCGCCGAGUUUAAGCAUAUCAAUAAGCGGAGGAGAAGAAACUUACGAGGAUUCCCC